Molecule: long non-coding RNA, 1086 nt
Organism: Amphiprion ocellaris (clown anemonefish)
Lineage: Eukaryota; Metazoa; Chordata; Actinopteri; Pomacentridae
Source: Ensembl
GAAGUAGCAUGCUAAGAGGAAGAGAAAACCAGGAUAAAACCUCGGAGUUUACCUCUGAAAAGAAAAAAAAAAAACAGUUGGAGCACUUACCCAGUGGAGGUCCGGAGCCAAGUGACUGAACGAAGGAGAGAGUUACGUCGGCUAACCACUUGCCUUUCACCCAGAGAGCCGCAGCAAGGUCCAACAUCGGCGUGCUCCGCCUUGAUACACAGAGAGCAACGGUGAGAAAUGUGCCUUUUUAGCUGCUCUGGUGCUCUUUUCCUCUUGUUUUUGCAGGUGUUGAACGAAGGCAGUGGUGAUAUUACGGUUAUGAGAGUGAACUGAAGUGAAUAAUGGUGCAGUACUUCUGGACAUAUGCACAUUGUGUUCAUUAUUUUAUGCUGAUGUGUAUGUAAUUAAAGAGGAAGUGUUUUAUUUUCCUAAUGCCAAUUUAAAGGGAAAAGAGAGUAAUUUGGUAUGUUGGAUGAAUGUAAAACAAUAUGGUGUUGAAUGUAAAUUGUGUGACCUGUCUACAGGUCAGGUUUUUUGGAGGACUGAAGAGUCUGAGGUUCAGGACAAACUUCCUGCUGUAACAGAUGGUGAGCCAACUACCCUGAAGAAAGAUCAGCACUGAGAAGAUAUCCACGUACUCAUUCACACACACAUAUUAUACAUUUACAUUACACUACAAAGACCUUUGGAAUCAGGUGAACUUGCAAUAAUCCUACAACAGGAAAACCUACAACAACACCUAUUUUACUUAAGGGCCCCAACGGACAUUUUUGGUUUCAAGUGUGCACACUGGGUUUUUCUUAUUGUCUUACUGUUUGGGUUAUUAUUUUGUAUUCUGUACAAAUCAGACAACUUGUUUUAUCCACUGUUAAAAAUUAUACGAGUGGCUACUCAACUAUUACCCCUGCGGUUGCCUCAUUAUUGUUGCUCAGUACAGUGGCUCCUCCCAAAUUUAGUGUCUUCUGAUUCUGGUCCAGGUAUUAUAAAUAGUCCAAGUAAUUAUUACACUGUAAUUCACUUUUAUAUCCCUAAAGUUGGUUACUUGUAUCAAAGAGGUUUUAGUCUAUGUCUAGAAAUUGAAAAUAUCUGAAAAAU